UAGGGAAUCUUCCACAAUGGGCGCAAGCCUGAUGGAGCAACGCCGCGUGAGUGAAGAAGGUCUUCGGAUCGUAGAACUCUGUUGUUAGAGAAGAACAUGCAGGAGAGUAACUGUUCUUGUAUUGACGGUAUCUAACCAGAAAGCCACGGCUAACUACGGUGCCAG
This 165-nucleotide ribosomal RNA is filed under the name uncultured bacterium. RNAcentral's name for it is "partial 16S rRNA". It matches the Rfam family "Bacterial small subunit ribosomal RNA", at positions 355 to 511 of the family's 1533-position model. The record is from RNAcentral.